UAUAAAUUGUAAUAUAAAUGGUUUUUUAAAAUAAUAAAUUUAAUUAUGGUUUUAAAGUUAAUUUAAAGAUUUUUAUAUAUAUAAGUAUUAAAAGUAAUUUAAUAUAAAUUUAAGUAGUAUAUAAAUUUAAUAAAAUUAAAAAAAAUUAAAAUUAGGAAUUUUUAUAGUUUAGAUGUAUAAUUGUGCCAGCAAUCGUGGUUAAACAAUUUAAAUAAAUUAAUUUGAUUAAAUUGAAAUUAAAUAAAUAUUUAUAAUUAAAUUUUAAAUUAUUAGGUGAAAUUUAUUAAUUUGAUAUAAUUAUAUUUAGUAUAAAUUGAGUUUUUAAAGAAUUUACUUUAAAACUAGGAUUAGAUACCCUAUUAUUAAAUUUUAAAGGUGAAAUUUUAAUAGUAAAUGGUUAAUCAUUAAAUUUAAAUAAUUUGGCGGUAUUUUAAUUUUAUUAGAGGAAUUUGUUAAUUAAUUGAUAAUACUCGAUAAGUUAAACUUUAAUUUAGUUUUUAUAUUGUUGUUUAAAGAGUAUUUUUGGAAAAAUUAUUUAAGAUAUUAUUUUAAGAAAUAAAUUCAGAUCAAAAUGAAGUGUAUGUUAAAGAGUUAAUGAGUUACAAUAAAUUAAAUUUAUGUGGAUUAAUAAUUUAAAAAUUAUAAUGAAGGUGGAUUUAAAAGUAAAAUAAAAAAAAUUAUUUUAUUUGAUUUAAAUUUUAAAGUAUGUACAAAUUGCCCGUCGUUCUCUUUGAAAAAGGAGGUAAGUCGUAACAAAGUAAAAGUACUGGAAAGUGUUUUUGGAAU
This 786-nucleotide non-coding RNA is filed under the name Chrysis cessata. The record is from RNAcentral. Lineage: Eukaryota; Metazoa; Arthropoda; Insecta; Hymenoptera; Chrysididae.